This 374-nucleotide ribosomal RNA is filed under the name uncultured organism. RNAcentral's name for it is "partial 16S ribosomal RNA". It matches the Rfam family "Bacterial small subunit ribosomal RNA", at positions 527 to 896 of the family's 1533-position model. The record is from RNAcentral.
GUAGGUGGCAAGCGUUGUCCGGAAUUAUUGGGCGUAAAGCGCGCGCAGGCGGUUCUUUAAGUCUGAUGUGAAAGCCCACGGCUCAACCGUGGAGGGUCAUUGGAAACUGGAGGACUUGAGUACAGAAGAGGAAAGCGGAAUUCCACGUGUAGCGGUGAAAUGCGUAGAGAUGUGGAGGAACACCAGUGGCGAAGGCGGCUUUCUGGUCUGUAACUGACGCUGAGGCGCGAAAGCGUGGGGAGCAAACAGGAUUAGAUACCCUGGUAGUCCACGCCGUAAACGAUGAGUGCUAAGUGUUAGGGGGGUUUUCCGCCCCCCUUAGUGCUGCAGCUAACGCAUUAAGCACUCCGCCUGGGAGUACGGCCGCAAGGCUG